ACGGUUCUUCCAUCUUCCAUAUAAUUUUUUUAAUUAAAAAAAACAGUCAUAAAUUAGAAGAAUUCACUACAUACUUUUUUUGGGUGCAAUUCACUGCAUACCCUUUUUUUAAUUCAGUACAUACGUUAAUAAUGUUAUAAGUUUUCUUUUAAUAAGAUAAGCCUGAGAACAUAUUUAUAAUCUCCGAAAUCCUAAGCAAUAUCUUGAUUUCUUUGUCACUCUUUGUUUAUUCAGAGAAGAGUUUUAUCAAUGACCAAGCCGGUCUUGGUUAAAAACACAAAGGAAAUGUUCGCAAACCUGGACUUUCCUGAAUCUGUCAAAGUCGCAGAUUUUGGGUGUUCGUCGGGACAAAACACGUUUCUAGUGAUGUCUGAGAUUGUCGAUGCAAUCAAUUUUCUAUGUCAAGAACGAAACCAAAAACAGACAGAGAUAGAAUGUUGUUUGAAUGAUCUCCCUAGUAACGAUUUCAACGCAGUUUUCAAGCUCAUAGCUCUCUUCAAGAAAAAAGUGACAAGUGAAGGAUCGUGCUUCAUAUCUGGAGUCCCUGGUUCUUUUUACUCUAGGCUUUUCCCUCGCAAUUCUCUCCAUUUGGUACAUUCAGUUUACAGUAUUCAUUUCCUCUCUAAGGUAUUUUAUAUUAAACUUCUGCAUACUGUAAUACAGUAAAACUCUAUAUAUUAAUCAUGUUGAAACUAUGGUAUUUUAUAAAUUUAUAAAAAUUCAAUUAAGAACUUAUAUAAACUAAAUUAUGCAUUUAUGAUUCUAGUGGGACAAUAUAUUUACAUAAAAUUUAUAAAACUAUUAUUUUAUCGAUUUGUGAUAUAUUUCAAUUUGGUCCAACUCGGAAUCGAUAAAUUUUUAUUUAUCGAGUAUUAAUUUCUAGAGUUUCUAUUGUAUAUAACUAUUUGAUUUUUGGACUUUAAGGUUCCGGACAGACUCGAGAAGAACAACAUGAAUGUGUACAUAACAGCUUCAAGUCCUCUAAGUAACUACAUUGCUUACUUGAAUCAAUUCCAAAGAGAUUUCUCAACAUUUCUGAAAGUGCGGUCGGAAGAGAUGGUUUCUAAUGGACGAGUGAUUCUUACAAUCAUGGGCAGAAACACUAUUGAUGAUCCAUUGUAUAGGGAUUGUUGUCAUUGCUGGACAUUAUUAUCCAACUCUCUCCGUGACUUAGUCUUGGAGGUAUCAAGGAAAAAAUAUCCAUAUUUGGAUAUGUUCACGUACGCAUGAUUUCAAAGAUUUAAUCUUGUCAUGAUUUUUUUAUAGGGUCUUCUGAGUGCAUCAAAAGUGAAUUCGUUCAAAAUCCCUUUUUAUGAUCCGACCAAGGAAGAAGUUAAGGAGAUAAUAAGAGAAGAAGGAUCCUUCCAAAUAAACGACUUGGAGACACAUGGAUUUGAUCUCGGCCACAGUUACGAGGAUUGUGUUUCACAAUCAGGUAGAGAAGGACAAAAAGAAGCUGGUUGUAUAAGAGCAGUGACAGAAUCAAUGCUCGUAGCUCACUUUGGAGAUUCCAUCAAUAUCGACACACUGUUUAGCAAGUAUGCGCAUCAUGCGUCUCAGCAUGCUAGCUGCAAGAUCAAAACUACUGUAACUCUAGUCGUUUCAUUGAUUCGGAAAUAACUCUAGUUCUUACUCUCAUUGUUAGGAUUCAAAUAGGGUAUUUUGAAUUUUCAUAUUUUCAGGUGUACGCUCCUAAGUCAUAUUCUAAUAUUUUAUUAGUAUGAAUGGGUUAGAUAAUAACACUUCGGGUUCGGUUCAAAUUUGUAUUACAUCCUAAAAUCCAUAAAGUUACCACUUUGAGUUAUAUAAAUUUGAUUCGGAUAUAUCUGAAGUAAAAAACAAAUUUUAAAGCAAAACAUAAAAAAAUACUUAAAUUGAAUAGAAUUUAAUCUAACACACAUCAAAUUGAAUAAAAUAACAGUAAUAUAUUAAAUCAAGCACGAAAACAAACAUUGUUUGUAGACAAUAUGCAUUAUCUUAUAGAUAGAGUAGACUUGAUAUUUCAACGAGCAAAUUUCGAAGUACUUAUUUAUAAAUAAUUGGGUAGUUACAGUAUCUAAAAUUUAAAUAUUUAUUUUUAUAUAUCAUAUCAACAUAAAUAUUGAAUUGAGUAUUUGAAAAUACUUAUAUACAUCGAUAUAUGUAUAUGUAUUUCAAAUAUUUAUAUUGACUAUAAUUUUGGAUUUUUCAUAUUAGUCGUUUGGGUUCGGUUAAUAACAUCUUGGGUUCCAGUAAGUUUUAAAACACCUUACAAAACAUGUUCGGGUUUUUUAUAUUUCGGAUCGGAUAACGGAUCGGGUUUUUCAGUUCAGAUCUCGGGUUCUGGAUUUUAUGCCAGCCCUAGAGACUAUCUAGCUUGUCUGUACACAUGACAUAUUAUCCACAGGUUUCGUUUUGAGCUCGUUCAUUUUGUUGGCUUGUUUCCAGGGUUAUUUUCUCGAUGGCCCAAUUAUUUUGUUACACGAUUUACUUUGAAAGCAAAUAAUGUUUUUUUCUGUGGAACACACAAAUAAUGUUUGAUUCCACAUUGGUUACAUUUACACAAAACCUCAUCUCGUAUUGAUAUUGUUCUUUUAGGACCUCUAUAGCAAUACUCUUUUUUUUUUUGUAAACGAAAUAUAUAGCAAUAUUCUUUUUUUUUUGUAACUGGUUAUAUAGCAAUAUUCUUUUUUCUUUUUAUUUGAGAAAGUGACGGUACCCUAUUGCACAUUAAUUAUAUUGUUCGUAUUCGAUAAACACACACACACACAUAUUUAUAUAUAUAUAGAUAUAUAUGAAGCCAUAUCAGAACAACUAACUAAUUCAGUCUCUUUUGGUUAAUUAAUAUGUUGAAUAUUUUUUUUUUUUGGUAAACUUCGAAAAUAUUGUUUCUUUUCUCUUUGUAUGUUGGAUAUUAAUUUUGUUAUAACAUUUAAUAAAACUACAAAAUGACAUUUCUCAUUAAUUAUUUUCAACUAAUUUUAAAAUAUUUAAAUGAAUAAAAUAUAUAUAUAAUAGUAAUUAUAUUUUUCUUAAAAUUCAUACUUAACAUUUUAUCAAAUAAUGUAUACAAAUUUAAAUAAAUUAUGUAAAAUUUAAAUUACAUAAAUUAUGGAUGCAAUGAAAUACAAUUUUGUAAGCAAAAUAAUUUUGAACUUUGAAAAUCCAAGUCAAAAUCUACUAUUACUUAAAAAUAAAGUAUUAUAUUGUUGAUAUACCUAUACAAAUAUUUCUAAAGAAUAUUUUAGUAGUUAUUUCUCUAAAUUUGAUUCACUAAAUAUUUAUAUACAAAUAUUUCUAAAGAUAUAUAUAUAUACAAAUAUUUCUAAAGAAUAUUUUAGUAGUUAUUUCUCUAACCUUUUUAGACUUUUUCUAUAUCCAAUGUAAUCCACUAUAUUUUCCUUCACUAACAAAGGUUCCCCAAUCUAGGACCUAACUAGUAUAAAAACCAUUAUUCUUUCACUAGAACUAAUAUAUUAUAUUCCCAGAUCAGUUACUAAUAUUAUUAAUAAAAACAUACCUCAAAAUAUAAUGUCAAAGAACAUAAAAUAUUAUAUAAAAUUUGAACAGGGUUUACUUUUACACAAUAUCUAACAACACACUUCAAACUAUACCAUUUAAUAAUUUUAUCAUAUACGCCAAAUAUAUUUUAUCUAUUAAAUAAAAAAUUAUUGCGCAUGGCACGAUCUUAAACUAGUUUUUGUGUCUGAUGCAGGUGUAAUGGUAAAAGUGAAAAUAAUGGCGAUGGAGAGGAUAGUAGUAAAUAUCCUUAUGUGAGUGCUCUAUGCAUGAACGGUGGUGAUGGAGAUAAGAGUUACUCCGCCAAUUCUCUUAUUACGGUUCUUCCAUCUUCCAUAUAAUUUUUUUAAUUAAAAAAAACAGUCAUAAAUUAGAAGAAUUCACUACAUACUUUUUUUGGGUGCAAUUCACUGCAUACCCUUUUUUUAAUUCAGUACAUACGUUAAUAAUGUUAUAAGUUUUCUUUUAAUAAGAUAAGCCUGAGAACAUAUUUAUAAUCUCCGAAAUCCUAAGCAAUAUCUUGAUUUCUUUGUCACUCUUUGUUUAUUCAGAGAAGAGUUUUAUCAAUGACCAAGCCGGUCUUGGUUAAAAACACAAAGGAAAUGUUCGCAAACCUGGACUUUCCUGAAUCUGUCAAAGUCGCAGAUUUUGGGUGUUCGUCGGGACAAAACACGUUUCUAGUGAUGUCUGAGAUUGUCGAUGCAAUCAAUUUUCUAUGUCAAGAACGAAACCAAAAAC
RNAcentral lists this long non-coding RNA (4236 nucleotides) under Brassica napus (rape). RNAcentral describes it as "long non-coding RNA (BNAP_LNC021438)". The record is from RNAcentral. Lineage: Eukaryota; Viridiplantae; Streptophyta; Magnoliopsida; Brassicales; Brassicaceae.